AGGGGCAUAGCUCAAUUGGUAGAGUGGCGGUCUCCAAAACCGCAGGUUGCGGGUUCGAGCCCUGCUGCCCCUG
RNAcentral lists this transfer RNA (73 nucleotides) under Saprospiraceae bacterium. RNAcentral's name for it is "tRNA-Trp". It matches the Rfam family "tRNA". Rfam says of the family: Transfer RNA (tRNA) molecules are approximately 80 nucleotides in length. Their secondary structure includes four short double-helical elements and three loops (D, anti-codon, and T loops). Lineage: Bacteria; Pseudomonadati; Bacteroidota; Saprospiria; Saprospirales; Saprospiraceae. RNAcentral also lists the same sequence under 1 other name. The record is from RNAcentral.